This 394-nucleotide ribosomal RNA is filed under the name uncultured bacterium. RNAcentral's name for it is "partial 16S ribosomal RNA". It matches the Rfam family "Bacterial small subunit ribosomal RNA", at positions 338 to 729 of the family's 1533-position model. The record is from RNAcentral.
GCUACGGGAGGCUGCAGUGAGGAAUAUUGGUCAAUGGUCGCGAGCCUGAACCAGCCAAGUCGCGUGAGGGAUGACUGCACUAAGUAUUGUAAACUUCUUUUAUAAGGGAAUAAAGUGAGGCACGUGUGCCGGUAUGACUGUACCUUAUGCAUAAGGAUCGGCUAACUCCGUGCCAGCAGCCGCGGUAAUACGGAGGCUUCGAGCGUUAUCCGGAUUUAUUGGGUUUAAAGGGGGCGUAGGUGGGUUUUUAAGGCAGGGGGGAAAGCGCGGGGCUCAACCGUAACACCGCAAUUGAUAUUGGCAGUCUCGAGUAGAGGAGAGGUAUGCGGAAUUCGUGGUGUAGCGGUGAAAUGCAUAGAUAUCUCGAAGAACUCCGAUUGCGAAGGCAGCAUGC